AAGGAGCUUAGAACAAAGCUGCAAACUGCAGAAUCUGAUAAGGAGGAGUUGGAGAAAGAAGUGGAAUCAAUGAAAAAGGAGUUUCUAAGCAAAGAUUCGCGGCCAGGGUCACCUCCACCUGAUAAAGAACUGAAGAUGUCAAAUAAUCACGGAAGCAAAGCAAUAGACAUGGAUAUUGAUGUAAAGAUAAUCGGAUGGGACGCAAUGAUACGAAUUCAAUGUAGCAAAAAGAAUCACCCAGCAGCUAGGUUAAUGGCAGCCUUGAAAGACUUGGACCUGGAUGUUCAUCAUGCCAGUGUGUCGGUGGUGAAUGAUUUGAUGAUACAGCAAGCCACAGUGAAAAUGGGAAGCCGGAUUUACACACAGGAGCAGCUCAGGUUAGCCUUAUCAACCA
Molecule: long non-coding RNA, 394 nt
Filed under: Ricinus communis (castor bean)
Lineage: Eukaryota; Viridiplantae; Streptophyta; Magnoliopsida; Malpighiales; Euphorbiaceae
Description: long non-coding RNA (RCOM_LNC001158)
Source: RNAcentral